Molecule: ribosomal RNA, 253 nt
Filed under: uncultured bacterium
Lineage: Bacteria
Description: partial 16S ribosomal RNA
Rfam family: Bacterial small subunit ribosomal RNA
Source: RNAcentral
UACGAAGGGGGCAAGCGUUAUUCGGAAUUAUUGGGCGUAAAGAGUGCGUAGGCGGUUUAAUAAGUUAAAAGUGAAAUCCUUUAGCUCAACUAAAGAAGUGUUUUUAAUACUGUUAAACUUGAGUCUUAGAGAGGAUGGAGGAAUUCUUGAUGUAGGGGUGGAAUCCGUAGAUAUCAAUAGGAACACCGAAAGCGAAAGCAUCCAUCUGGAUAAGUACUGACGCUGUUGCACGAAAGCGUGGGUAGCAAACAGG